CGGACAUUACAUCCUUCUCCCCUUAAAUAAAUUUCGUCCUCGAAAUUAAGCAUACCUUGGUUCUCGAAGAGCUGAGGGUAACAUUGUCGCAUCUCUUCCUCCAAUUCCCAGGUAGCUUCCCUUUCAGUGUGGUUGGUCCACUGGACUUUAACGUAGGGAAUGGUGCGCCUUCGGAGGAUUUGCUCUUUUCUGUCUAUGAUGCGCAGGGGAGUCUCCUCAUAGAUUAAAUCUUUAUUUAAUUGCAGGGGCUCAUGUGGCACCACAUGGCUGGGAUCCGGGACGUACCUCCGCAGUAGUGAGACAUGGAAGACGUCGUGUACGCCUGAUAGCUCCGGGGGUAGGGCCAAUUUGUAGGCAACCUUGCCUAUCCUGGCAAGAAUCUCGAAUGGGCCGA
RNAcentral lists this long non-coding RNA (394 nucleotides) under Phoenix dactylifera (date palm). RNAcentral's name for it is "long non-coding RNA (PDAC_LNC018842)". Lineage: Eukaryota; Viridiplantae; Streptophyta; Magnoliopsida; Arecales; Arecaceae. The record is from RNAcentral.